RNAcentral lists this transfer RNA (73 nucleotides) under Cordylochernes scorpioides. RNAcentral's name for it is "tRNA-Phe". Lineage: Eukaryota; Metazoa; Arthropoda; Arachnida; Pseudoscorpiones; Chernetidae. The record is from RNAcentral.
UGCCGAAACCUAGGAUCGAACCAGGGACCUUUAGAUAUUCAAUCUAACGCUCUCCUAACUGAGCUAUUUCGGC